RNAcentral lists this unclassified non-coding RNA (213 nucleotides) under uncultured Trechisporales. RNAcentral's name for it is "sequence contains ITS2". Lineage: Eukaryota; Fungi; Basidiomycota; Agaricomycetes; Trechisporales. The record is from RNAcentral.
AGUCAUCAACUCGGACCGUUUUUCUUACGGUCAGGGUUGGAGCUGGGGGACUUUGCCGAUCGCCUCGACCGGCUCCCCUCAAAUGCGUCGGUUGGGCCUGUGGGUCGAACGUUUGGGCGUUGUACCAUCCUCGCUCUACAACACUAGACCUGCUUUACGUGCCCCUCCUCGACCUUGCCCGACUGGUUUCGGGUGGUCAAUGCAAACUUUGAA